GCCUCCGUAGCUUAGCGGCUAGAGCAUUCGGCUGUUAACCGAAAGGUCCCCGGUUCGAAUCCGGGCGGAGGCG
Molecule: transfer RNA, 73 nt
Filed under: Candidatus Woesearchaeota archaeon
Lineage: Archaea; Nanobdellati; Candidatus Woesearchaeota
Description: tRNA-Asn
Rfam family: tRNA
About the family: Transfer RNA (tRNA) molecules are approximately 80 nucleotides in length.
Source: RNAcentral